This is a long non-coding RNA of Pogoniulus pusillus (Red-fronted tinkerbird), 251 nucleotides long. RefSeq lists it as uncharacterized. NCBI's taxonomy places the organism in Eukaryota, Metazoa, Chordata, Aves, Piciformes, Lybiidae. The transcript has 3 exons. The record is from RefSeq and is a predicted model, not a curated record.
UUCCCAGCCCCGGGGUUGCAUCACACCACCGGCACCGCCGCUUCGGGGGCAGGAGCUCGCUGAACGCAAACCUGCAUCCUCGGGGCUGCCGGUGUGGGUCUCAAAGGUUGUUUUAUUUCCCCAGUUCCAAGACUGGAGCAUACUGAUGGGGGUUGAAGCCUGAUGAUGCUGGAUAUUUUUUCCCCCCAAUCCCAAGACUGGAGCAUGUUGAUAGGAGAUGCAGCCUGUUGGAGCUGUGGGUUUCAUGCCCC